CGGUGGUAGAGAAGAACGUUGCAUAGAGUGGAAAAUUAUGCAAGUGACGGUAUUUAACCAGAAAGGGACGGCUAACUACGUGCCAGCAGCCGCGGUAAUACGUAGGUCCCGAGCGUUGUCCGGAUUUAUUGGGCGUAAAGCGAGCGCAGGUGGUUUAAUAAGUCUGAUGUAAAAGGCAGUGGCUCAACCAUUGUGUGCAUUGGAAACUGUUAGACUUGAGUGCAGUAGAGGAGAGUGGAAUUCCAUGUGUAGCGGUGAAAUGCGUAGAUAUAUGGAGGAACACCGGUGGCGAAAGCGGCUCUCUGGACUGUCACUGACACUGAGGCUCGAAAGCGUGGGUAGCAAACAGGAUUAGAUACCCUGGUAGUCCACGCCGUAAACGAUGAGUGCUAGUUGUUUGGGGCUAUCCAGCCCUAAGUGACGCAGCAAACGCAUUAAGCACUCCGCCUGGGGAGUACGACCGCAAGGUUGAAACUCAAAGGAAUUGACGGGGGCCCGCACAAGCGGUGGAGCAUGUGGUUUAAUUCGAAGCAACGCGAAGAACCUUACCAGGUCUUGACAUACUCGUGCUAUUCCUAGAGAUAGGAAGUUCCUUCGGGACACGGGAUACAGGUGGUGCAUGGUUGUCGUCAGCUCGUGUCGUGAGAUGUUGGGUUAAGUCCCGCAACGAGCGCAACCCCUAUUGUUAGUUGCCAUCAUUAAGUUGGGCACUCUAGCGAGACUGCCGGUAAUAAACCGGAGGAAGGUGGGGAUGACGUCAAAUCAUCAUGCCCCUUAUGACCUGGGCUACACACGUGCUACAAUGGUUGGUACAACGAGUCGCAAGGCAGUGAUGUCAAGCUAAUCUCUUAAAGCCAAUCUCAGUUCGGAUUGUAGGCUGCAACUCGCCUACAUGAAGUCGGAAUCGCUAGUAAUCGCGGAUCAGCACGCCGCGGUGAAUACGUUCCCGGGCCUUGUACACACCGCCCGUCACACCACGAGAGUUUGUAAUAUACAAAGCCGCUGAGCUAACCAAGUACGUAACAACCAUCCGUAGA
This 1037-nucleotide ribosomal RNA is filed under the name Pseudolactococcus raffinolactis. Its description in RNAcentral is "bacterial SSU rRNA". It matches the Rfam family "Bacterial small subunit ribosomal RNA", at positions 434 to 1464 of the family's 1533-position model. The record is from RNAcentral. Lineage: Bacteria; Bacillati; Bacillota; Bacilli; Lactobacillales; Streptococcaceae.